AGUGAACGCUGGCGGUAGGCCUAACACAUGCAAGUCGAACGGCAGCACAGUAAGAUCUUGCUCUUACGGUUGGCGAGUGGCGGACGGGUGAGGAAUACAUCGGAAUCCACUUUUUCGUGGGGGAUAACGUAGGGAAACUUACGCUAAUACCGCAUAUGUCCUACGGGUGAAAGCAGUGGAUCUUCGCACCUUUCGCGAUUGAAUGAGCCGCGGCCGGUUUACCUAGUCGGCAGGGUAAAGGCCCACCAAGGCGACGAUCCGUAGCUUGUCCGAGCGGAUGAUCGGCAACACGGAAAUGAGGAACGGGCCCAGCCGCCAAGGGGAGGCAGCAGUGGGAAAUAUUGGAAAAUGGGCGCAGGCCUGAGCCAGCCAGACCGGGGGGGUAUGGAGGGCCUUCGAGUUGUAAGCCCUGUUGUUGGGAAAGAAAAGAAGCAGAUUAAUACCCGGAUGUUCUGACGGUACCCAAUGAGUAAGCACCGGCUAACUUCGUG
RNAcentral lists this ribosomal RNA (491 nucleotides) under uncultured bacterium. Its description in RNAcentral is "partial 16S ribosomal RNA". It matches the Rfam family "Bacterial small subunit ribosomal RNA", at positions 29 to 507 of the family's 1533-position model. The record is from RNAcentral.